GAUGAACGCUGGCGGCGUGCCUAAUACAUGCAAGUCGAGCGAACAGACGAGGAGCUUGCUCCUCUGACGUUAGCGGCGGACGGGUGAGUAACACGUGGAUAACCUACCUAUAAGACUGGGAUAACUUCGGGAAACCGGAGCUAAUACCGGAUAAUAUAUUGAACCGCAUGGUUCAAUAGUGAAAGACGGUUUUGCUGUCACUUAUAGAUGGAUCCGCGCCGCAUUAGCUAGUUGGUAAGGUAACGGCUUACCAAGGCAACGAUGCGUAGCCGACCUGAGAGGGUGAUCGGCCACACUGGCACUGAGACACGGUCCAGACUCCUACGGGAGGCAGCAGUAGGGAAUCUUCCGCAAUGGGCGAAAGCCUGACGUAGCAACGCCGCGUGAGUCAUGAAGGUCUUCGGCUCGUAAAACUCUGUUAUUAGGGAAGAACAAAUGUGUAAGUAACUAUGCACGUCUUGACGGUACCUAAUCAGAAAGCCACGGCUAACUACGUG
RNAcentral lists this ribosomal RNA (497 nucleotides) under uncultured bacterium. Its description in RNAcentral is "partial 16S ribosomal RNA". It matches the Rfam family "Bacterial small subunit ribosomal RNA", at positions 28 to 507 of the family's 1533-position model. The record is from RNAcentral.